AGGACGGUUCGAGUAUGCGAUAUUUCGGAACUGAGUCUAGUUCCUUCUAGUUUCUAGACUCAGUUCCGAAAUAUCGCAUACUCGAAC
Non-coding RNA from Paramuricea clavata, 87 nucleotides. NCBI's taxonomy places the organism in Eukaryota, Metazoa, Cnidaria, Anthozoa, Malacalcyonacea, Plexauridae. The record is from the annotation of a GenBank genome assembly.